AGGAAGGUUAAAAGCACCCUCAGACUCAGGAAGGUUAAAACCACCCUCAGACUCAGGAAGGUUAAAACCACCCUCAGACUCAGGAAGGCUAAAACCACCCUCAGACUCAGGAAGGUUAAAACCACCCUCAGACUCAGGAAGGUUAAAACCACCCUCAGACUCAGGAAGGUUAAAACCACCCUCAGACUCAGGAAGGUUAAAACCACCCUCAGACUCAGGAAGGUUAAAACCACCCUCAGACUCAGGAAGGUUAAAACCACCCUCAGACCCAGGAAGGUUAAAACCACCCUCAGACUCAGGAAGGUUUAAACCACCCUCAGACUCAGGAAGGUUAAAAC
Long non-coding RNA from Oncorhynchus tshawytscha (Chinook salmon), 338 nucleotides. The record is from Ensembl. NCBI's taxonomy places the organism in Eukaryota, Metazoa, Chordata, Actinopteri, Salmoniformes, Salmonidae.